GUAGGGAAUAUUGGGCAAUGGACGAAAGUCUGACCCAGCAACGCCGCGUGUGCGACGAAGGUCUUCGGAUCGUAAAGCACUUUUCUGGGAGAUGAGAAAGGACAGUAUCCCAGGAAUAAGUCUCGGCUAACUACGUGCCAGCAGCCGCGGUAAAACGUAGGAGACGAGCGUUAUCCGGAUUUACUGGGCGUAAAGCGCGUGCAGGCGGCUUGGCAAGUUGGAUGUGAAAUCUCCCGGCUCAACUGGGAGGGGUCGUUCAAAACUACCGAGCUAGAGGAUGGUAGAGGAAGGUGGAAUUCCCGGUGUAGUGGUGAAAUGCGUAGAUAUCGGGAGGAACACCAGUGGCGAAAGCGGCCUUCUGGACCAUUCCUGACGCUCAGACGCGAAAGCUAGGGGAGCGAACGGGAUUAGAUACCCCGGUAGUCC
RNAcentral lists this ribosomal RNA (426 nucleotides) under uncultured bacterium. RNAcentral's name for it is "bacterial SSU rRNA". It matches the Rfam family "Bacterial small subunit ribosomal RNA", at positions 354 to 796 of the family's 1533-position model. The record is from RNAcentral.